Molecule: long non-coding RNA, 1167 nt
Organism: Seriola aureovittata
Lineage: Eukaryota; Metazoa; Chordata; Actinopteri; Carangiformes; Carangidae
Exons: 4
Source: RefSeq, a predicted model, not a curated record
UCAACCCGAUUUUCAUUUCCAACUCUAAUUUAAUGUCUGUACAAUGUUAGUCCAACGUCUUUCUGAUGUAGCAUUGAUGUAGAGCUGGACCAUAAAUCAAUUUCAUCGAUUAAUUUGAAUUUAUGGUUUAGGACUAUGUUCAAAAAUGAAAAUCGAAUUUCAGUUUGACUUGGGUUAAUUAUGGUACGGAACCGCCACCGCUUCACUGAGCUUCCGUUGUUUAAAGUAACGCGAGAUUUCACAAGUGAAUUAUCAACAUGGCAGCAUUCGUUAAUAAGUGAGGAGAUCGUUCCCAAAAAAAUGCAGUGUCCGUUAUCGGGCAAACCACCGUCCAUUGUAAAGUUUGCCAAAAGUCUGUGGCAACUAAAAGCAACAAGACGACUACUUUAUUUUAGCGUCUCAAACAGAGGCACGCAGCUGAGUUGGAGAAGUGUAUGGCACUGCGAGUUGAACAAGACAGCGGCAAAACACCUGCUCAAAAGCAGGUAACAUUAACGGAGUGCGUUGGGCUCGUGGAACCUCUGGGAAGACCGACACGUCUGCGUGACUACAGACAGCGGCACGGACAUGAUCAAAGCUCUGAGACUUGAUGAGUGGACCCACCUCCAGUGCUUUGGACGCAAACUACACAACCCACCACUCAGGCCCAUGUGUGCUUGCACGUGUUGUAACGUGUCAGUGUGAUGGAGAGCAACGUCACCGGUGCUUCAAGUCCUGGUAGGGGUUUAACACAAAUCACUAAGAUGUGGAUGUGCUCAGAGAAAGAGACAAAGACAAGAGAGAAGCAUCAGGGGGUGCACAGCACAGAACUUUUACAGAAGCUAAUACAGUCGGGUCCUACUGGAAAUAAGAACGCAUGAAAACAGUUUAACAGUGUUGGAGACUGAAAAAUACCAACAUGGAGUCUCACAAGUCAACAGAAAUUAAAACUCUGUUAUUACAUUUCAUCAUUUCUCCACAAGGAAAAAAGGAAAGUGUAACUCCAUAACCAAUUUGUGCUCACAUGCCUUUGCUUACAAAAAUAUCAUGAUUUGCCAAUUCAGCUAAAACAUUCAACUUUAUAUUUCAGCAGGCAAACCCAACAACAUGGAUGCCCACUGAGUGUCAGUGAGGCAUGUGAUUACAGAUUUAAUGUACUGUAUUUAAAGUCUUACUACAAAAUAAACA